UGCAAGUCGAACGAGAACGGGUUAUAGCUUGCUAUAAUUGUCAGCUAAGUGGCGCACGGGUGAGUAAUGUAUAGGUAAUAUGCCUCUUACUAAGGGAUAACAAAUGGAAACGUCUGCUAAUACCUUAUACUCCUUAUUAACAUAAGUUAAUAAGGGAAAGAUUUAUUGGUAAGAGAUUAGCCUGUAUUGUAUCAGUUAGUUGGUGGGGUAAUGGCUUACCAAGACUAUGACACAUAACUGGUUUGAGAGGAUGAUCAGUCACACUGGAACUGAGACACGGUCCAGACUCCUACGGGAGGCAGCAGUGGGGAAUAUUGCACAAUGGACGAAAGUCUGAUGCAGCAACGCCGCGUGGAGGAUGACACAUUUCGGUGCGUAAACUCCUUUUAUAUGAGAAGAUAAUGACGGUAUUAUAUGAAUAAGCACCGGCUAACUCCGUGCCAGCAGCCGCGGUAAUACGGGGGGUGCAAGCGUUACUCGGAAUCACUGGGCGUAAAGAGCAUGUAGGCGGAUUAAUAAGUUUGAAGUGAAAUCCUAUAGCUUAACUAUAGAACUGCUUUGAAAACUGUUAAUCUAGAAUGUGGGAGAGGUAGAUGGAAUUUCUGGUGUAGGGGUAAAAUCCGUAGAGAUCAGAAGGAAUACCGAUUGCGAAGGCGAUCUACUGGAACAUUAUUGACGCUGAGAUGCGAAAGCGUGGGGA
This 700-nucleotide ribosomal RNA is filed under the name uncultured Campylobacterota bacterium. RNAcentral's name for it is "bacterial SSU rRNA". It matches the Rfam family "Bacterial small subunit ribosomal RNA", at positions 56 to 767 of the family's 1533-position model. The record is from RNAcentral. Lineage: Bacteria; Pseudomonadati; Campylobacterota.